This is a small nuclear RNA of Marmota marmota marmota (Alpine marmot), 105 nucleotides long. The record is from Ensembl. Lineage: Eukaryota; Metazoa; Chordata; Mammalia; Rodentia; Sciuridae.
GUGCUCGAUUAGGCAGCACAUAUACUAAAAUUGGAACGAUACAGAGAAGAUUAGCAUGGCCCCUGCGCAAAUGCUGUUAGGAAAAUAAACAAAUUCUAAUUAUUC